This 424-nucleotide ribosomal RNA is filed under the name Enterococcus faecium. RNAcentral describes it as "partial 23S ribosomal RNA". It matches the Rfam family "Bacterial large subunit ribosomal RNA", at positions 1941 to 2364 of the family's 2925-position model. Lineage: Bacteria; Bacillati; Bacillota; Bacilli; Lactobacillales; Enterococcaceae. The record is from RNAcentral.
UAUAACGGUCCUAAGGUAGCGAAAUUCCUUGUCGGGUAAGUUCCGACCCGCACGAAAGGCGUAACGAUUUGGGCACUGUCUCAACGAGAGACUCGGUGAAAUUUUAGUACCUGUGAAGAUGCAGGUUUCCCGCGACAGGACGGAAAGACCCCAUGGAGCUUUACUGUAGUUUGAUAUUGAGUGUCUGUACCGCAUGUACAGGAUAGGUAGGAGCCGUAGAAAUCGGAACGCUAGUUUCGAUGGAGGCGCUGGUGGGAUACUACCCCUGCGUUAUGGCCACUCUAACCCGCACCACUAAUCGUGGUGGGAGACAGUGUCAGAUGGGCAGUUUGACUGGGGCGGUCGCCUCCUAAAAGGUAACGGAGGCGCCCAAAGGUUCCCUCAGAAUGGUUGGAAAUCAUUCGAAGAGUGUAAAGGCAGAAGG